CCCCCAGAGGAGCCCCAGGACCCCCAGAGGCACCGGGGGGGACCCAGGGGAGGGGUCCUGGAACCCCCCCGGGCCGACCAUGCAGGAGAGCUACGAGUCCCUGAUCCUGCUGGAUUUCCCCGUGCCCAGGCCGGUUCUGGUUUCGCGCCUGGAGCCCGAGGAGGAGCCGGGGGAGCCCGAGGGCACCGAGGGCAAAGAGUGGGAAACGCUCAGGGUGGCUCCAGCAGACGCUCCCAGCGAUGAUGAUGAUGAUGAUGAUGAUGAUG
Molecule: long non-coding RNA, 266 nt
Organism: Catharus ustulatus (Swainson's thrush)
Lineage: Eukaryota; Metazoa; Chordata; Aves; Passeriformes; Turdidae
Exons: 3
Source: RefSeq, a predicted model, not a curated record